CUCGGUGCCUGCCUGUAAAAAGGCCGGCUUAAAAGGGAAUCCGGUGUAAAUCCGGAACAGCCCCCGCUACUGUAACGAGGGACGGCGCGUCUACCCGCCUUUUGGCGGAGUCACUGGGAAACUGGGAAGACGGACGGCGCCGGAUGAUCUCGAAGCCAGGAGACCUGCCGGGAACGC
RNAcentral lists this non-coding RNA (177 nucleotides) under chicken gut metagenome. The record is from RNAcentral.